RNAcentral lists this non-coding RNA (22 nucleotides) under Rattus norvegicus (Norway rat). Lineage: Eukaryota; Metazoa; Chordata; Mammalia; Rodentia; Muridae. The record is from RNAcentral.
GAGUCUCUUAUUAUAUGCCAGU